RNAcentral lists this small RNA (3519 nucleotides) under Pan troglodytes (chimpanzee). RNAcentral describes it as "retained intron". Lineage: Eukaryota; Metazoa; Chordata; Mammalia; Primates; Hominidae. The record is from RNAcentral.
CUCACUCGCGCGUUAGGAGGCUCGGGUCGUUGUGGUGCGCCGUGUUCCCGCUUGCGUCAGGGACCUGCCCGACUCAGUGGCCGCCAUGGCAUCAGAUGAAGGCAAACUUUUUGUUGGAGGGCUGAGUUUUGACACCAAUGAGCAGUCGCUGGAGCAGGUCUUCUCAAAGUACGGACAGAUCUCUGAAGGUGAGGCUGCUGCUGGGCCCGCGGCCCUGGGCGGGGGGGGCUUGUGCUCCUCCUACCUGGAAGUACAGCUGGGUGCUGACUGCAGAUCUCUCUCCCCUGCACAGUGGUGGUUGUGAAAGACAGGGAGACCCAGAGAUCUCGGGGAUUUGGGUUUGUCACCUUUGAGAACAUUGACGACGCUAAGGAUGCCAUGAUGGCCAUGAAUGGGAAGGUGAGGAUCAGGGUGCUGAGCGGGAGUCCCAUCUCGAGGAUGGGGCACCCACCCGCUAACCCGUCCCGCCCUCUGUCUCCAGUCUGUAGAUGGACGGCAGAUCCGAGUAGACCAGGCAGGCAAGUCGUCAGACAACCGAUCCCGUGGGUACCGUGGUGGCUCUGCCGGGGGCCGGGGCUUCUUCCGCGGGGGCCGAGGACGGGGCCGUGGGUUCUCUAGAGGAGGAGGGGACCGAGGCUAUGGGGGGAACCGGUUCGAGUCCAGGAGUGGGGGCUACGGAGGCUCCAGAGACUACUAUAGCAGCCGGAGUCAGAGUGGUGGCUACAGUGACCGGAGCUCGGGCGGGUCCUACAGAGACAGUUAUGACAGUUACGGUAAGUCACACUCCGAGGGCGCCACGCUGCUGUGGCCUGCGGUGGGAGCUCGGUUCACCUUGGUGCCCUCUCCAAGCACUUUAGGCUGGACACUCAGACCUUGUCACUGUGCUUGCCCAGAAGAGGCGCAUCUGUCCUCAGAGCCAUUUCUAUCGCAGGAUGCAAAAGCCAAAUGAGACUGACCAAAAAGGCAAGGGAGAGCGAGGGCCCGCUGGGCAGUCAGCUAGGUGCAUGUGUGGCCACAGGCCAGCCUCCCUCGGCUGUGGGGGGUGGUUGCUCCCCGGCCGCAGGCCGCGCCCUGGUCUGGCCUCUGGGGUGAAGCUGCCUCUCGUUGCUUCGGUGCCUUUACACUGUGCCUGCUUCUUGUCCUCAGCUACACACAACGAGUAAAAACCCUUCCUGCUCAAGAUCGUCCUUCCAAUGGCUGUGUGUUUAAAGAUUGUGGGAGCUUCGCUGAACGUUAAUGUGUAGUAAACGCACCUCCUUGUAUUCCCACUUUCGUAGUCAUUUCGGUUCUGAUCUUGUCAAACCCAGCCUGACCGCUUCUGACGCCGGGAUGGCCUCGUUACUAGACUUUUCUUUUUAAGGAAGUGCUGUUUUUUUUGAGGGGUUUCAAAACAUUUUGAAAAGCAUUUACUUUUUUGACCACGAGCCAUGAGUUUUCAAAAAAAUCGGGGGUUGUGUGGGUUUUUGGUUUUUGUUUUAGUUUUUGGUUGCGUUGCCUUUUUUUUUUUAGUGGGGUUGGCCCCAUGAAGUGGGUGCCCCAUUCACUUCUCUGAGAUCGAACGGACUGUGAAUCCGCUCUGUCGGAAGCUGAGCAAGCUGUGGCUUUUUUCCAACUCCGUGUGACGUUUCUGAGUGUAGUGUGGUAGGACCCCGGCGGGUGUGGCAGCAACUGCCCUGGAGCCCCAGCCCCUGCGUCCAUCUGUGCUGUGCGCCCCACAGUAGACGUGCAGACGUCCCUGAGAGGUUCUUGAAGAUGUUUAUUUAUAUUGUCCUUUUUUACUGGAAGACGUACGCAUACUCCAUCGAUGUUGUAUUUGCAGUGGCUGAGGAAUUCUUGUACGCAGUUUUCUUUGGCUUUACGAAGCCGAUUAAAAGACCGUGUGAAAUGAACCUUGCUCUGACAAUUCCCUUGCAUUGCACCACACACUCCUUGCUGCGGGCUCCUGCAGCCAGACCUGAGCAGAGAGAGAAGGUGGAGAAGCAGUGGGUCUGCAAGCCUUGCCUGGGGCCUGCAGAGCUAGAAAGGGAGGCCCAGCAGACUGGCGCUGGUCAGGGUAGGGGAGCCAGGCGGGGGACGGGAGCGGGCAGCUCAGGCCUCAGGGCAGCCCUGGGAGGCUUCUGGCAGUGGUGGCCAGAGGGCUGGACUGUGCGGGCAGCUUAACAGGGACAGUGGACGUGCACCUGACGCUGACCUGGACUGCCUCAGUCUAGAAGCAGGCCAGAGAGCAGAGGCACGUGGCAUCUCAGGGCGACCUCAGACGGCCAGCCGGUUAGCUAGUUCUGCUGUUGCUUCACGAGUUCUGAGCAUUCUCUGCUAGCCUAUGGAAGCUGCAGCCCUCGGAGGACAGAAGUGUUGUGCGCCCAACAGAACCCUCUGAGACGCAAGCUGCUCCCUUGGCUAGCUCAUAUGUGGAAAUAGCCCUGUAAUUCGAGGUAACUCCUUCCGCUCGUGUCCACAUCCCUCUUGUUGAGAGCUCACUGAAAGUCAUGUGCCCGGGGAAUGUUCCUGUGACUGUUUUUUGUUUUUCCUUUUUUUUUUUUUAACUUUUUGUUUUUUUCAAUUAAGCUGGAACUAAAGUCAGGCCCGGCCAUUACGCUCCCCACGUGCAGCCAGGUGCAGCCUGGGCCCAGUCAUGCCUGGCUCAUAGAUGAGAUCCCUUAAGCAGGAUUGGAGACCAGUGAACACCCCCGCCUUUUGGAUUUUUUGCUCAUCAAUUGACCGUCUUUUCCAGACCUCUUAAGUCACACUCUUAGCUUUCUCUGAUGUCUGUUGCCGCCAUUAGUUUUUUUCUAGAGCCCACACUGGCCCACAUAGCUCCAUCCCAUACGGGUAGCUGGCUCCAGCUGCGCCACGGUGCAGACCCGCCCUGGGCAUGCUGGCCUGUGACGGAGCCUGAGGUCACAGCCCCCUGACUAGCCUGAGACCUUCCUAGGGGCUGUGGCUGUUUCCGGGGAGGCCGGGAGGGGCAGCUGUGAGCCCCAUGGAGGACGUCGGGAGUAACGCUGCUUUGCUUUGGCAGGUUGAAGGGGCCCGGCCAGGACUCGGGGAAGGGUGGCCUGAGAGCAGCGAUGACCUCUGGGGUCACUGUCCCAGGAGGGACUUCACCUGGAACGAGAGCUGGAGGCAGCCGCUUGCCCAGGAGGCUUGUCCCCUGUAAGUGCUUUCGGGAAGAGUGGCAUGUGGCGCUGAGCCCUGUCCCGGGCGACACCUGGGCGUUUCAGUGAGUCCUGCUCUCCCGCACCUAUGGCCCCGCGGCGGGCGCCUUUCGGUGUGUGUUGGGUGCAGGGCAGCGCCUCCCGGGAGCGCCGGGUCCCCCGCCUGGAGCCCGCGCCUGUUCUCCCUCCCUCCUCCUCCUUCCAGGAGGCGCUUCGCCAGUGAGGUGCGGGCUCAGGGCCUCGAGUCUCUCCUGGAGCACGGGCUGCGGUGCGCUGGCAGCUUACGGGGCGGCCAGUCCUUGCCCACAACGAUGUGGAGCCCUGUGAAAGUCGGAUUCGAAUAAAGGGCCACGUGUGCACCCAG